This 206-nucleotide ribosomal RNA is filed under the name uncultured bacterium. RNAcentral's name for it is "partial 16S ribosomal RNA". It matches the Rfam family "Bacterial small subunit ribosomal RNA", at positions 524 to 730 of the family's 1533-position model. The record is from RNAcentral.
UACGAAGGGGGCUAGCGUUGCUCGGAAUGACUGGGCGUAAAGGGCGCGUAGGCGGACAUCUUUGUCGGGCGUGAAAUUCCAGGGCUUAACCUUGGGGCUGCGUUCGAGACGGGGUGUCUUGAGUGGGGAAGAGGGUCGUGGAAUUCCCAGUGUAGAGGUGAAAUUCGUAGAUAUCGGGAGGAACACCUGUGGCGAAGGCGGGCCCC